Ornithorhynchus anatinus (platypus) is the source of this 138-nucleotide non-coding RNA. Lineage: Eukaryota; Metazoa; Chordata; Mammalia; Monotremata; Ornithorhynchidae. The record is from Rfam.
CCACUCUCGGGAUCGCAUCUGGAGAAUUUCCAGUACUCUACCAGUCUCGGCUAUGGGAGGGAGAGUCAAGCAGAAGUAUAUAUAUUCCAUUUCUAGUUUGGGCAGUGGCUAGCAAGUGGAAGGUAAUCUGCUACAGGU